UGUGGUGCUUGCGAUGAUGAAGUCGCGAGAUAAUCGGGAAGCCAGUGAAAUUCUGGCACUGCCCCCGCAACGGUAAAAGGUGAGAGACGACCGCAUUUGAUAGGCGUUCACGAUGAACACUGAAAUCGAGUGUGUAAAGGUCAGUUUCGCGUUCAUCUCAAGUUGAGAUGGAUAUAGCCUAAGUCCGGAGACCGGCCCUAAAGG
Molecule: non-coding RNA, 204 nt
Filed under: Shewanella xiamenensis
Lineage: Bacteria; Pseudomonadati; Pseudomonadota; Gammaproteobacteria; Alteromonadales; Shewanellaceae
Source: RNAcentral